AGUGAACGCUGGCGGUAGGCCUAACACAUGCAAGUCGAACGGCAGCACAGUAAGAGCUUGCUCUUACGGGUGGCGAGUGGCGGACGGGUGAGGAAUACAUCGGAAUCUACUUUUUCGUGGGUGAUAACGUAGGGAAACUUACGCUAAUACCGCAUACGACCUACGGGUGAAAGCAGGGGAUCUUCGGACCUUGCGCGAUUGAAUGAGCCGAUGUCGGAUUAGCUAGUUGGCGGGGUAAAGGCCCACCAAGGCGACGAUCCGUAGCUGGUCUGAGAGGAUGAUCGGCCACACUGGAACUGAGACACGGUCCAGACUCCUACGGGAGGCAGCAGUGGGGAAUAUCGGACAAUGGGCGCAAGCCUGAUCCAGCCAUACCGCGUGGGUGAAGAAGGCCUUCGGGUUGUAAAGCCCUUUUGUUGGGAAAGAAAAGCAGCAGGUUAAUACCCCGCUGUUCUGACGGUACCCAAAGAAUAAGCACCGGCUAACUUCGUG
Molecule: ribosomal RNA, 492 nt
Filed under: uncultured bacterium
Lineage: Bacteria
Description: partial 16S ribosomal RNA
Rfam family: Bacterial small subunit ribosomal RNA
Source: RNAcentral